This 497-nucleotide ribosomal RNA is filed under the name uncultured bacterium. Its description in RNAcentral is "partial 16S ribosomal RNA". It matches the Rfam family "Bacterial small subunit ribosomal RNA", at positions 28 to 507 of the family's 1533-position model. The record is from RNAcentral.
GAUGAACGCUGGCGGCGUGCCUAAUACAUGCAAGUCGAGCGAACAGACGAGGAGCUUGCUCCUCUGACGUUAGCGGCGGACGGGUGAGUAACACGUGGAUAACCUACCUAUAAGACUGGGAUAACUUCGGGAAACCGGAGCUAAUACCGGAUAAUAUAUUGAACCGCAUGGUUCAAUAGUGAAAGACGGUUUUGCUGUCACUUAUAGAUGGAUCCGCGCCGCAUUAGCUAGUUGGUAAGGUAACGGCUUACCAAGGCAACGAUGCGUAGCCGACCUGAGAGGGUGAUCGGCCACACUGGAACGGGGACACGGUCCAGACUCCUACGGGAGGCAGCAGUAGGGAAUCUUCCGCAAUGGGCGAAAGCCUGACGGAGCAACGCCGCGUGAGUGAUGAAGGUCUUCGGAUCGUAAAACUCUGUUAUUAGGGAAGAACAAAUGUGUAAGUAACUAUGCACGUCUUGACGGUACCUAAUCAGAAAGCCACGGCUAACUCCGUG